Molecule: non-coding RNA, 526 nt
Organism: Camellia sinensis
Lineage: Eukaryota; Viridiplantae; Streptophyta; Magnoliopsida; Ericales; Theaceae
Source: RefSeq, a predicted model, not a curated record
ACAAAUUUUGGGGGCCUGUUAAGGAAAGGUAUAUACAAGUAGGGAAUGCUGUUGCAUUUCCAGUAUCCAUGGCAUUCGGAAGUAUGUUGGCAAAGGGAAGCCAAGGAGUCUCAAAUAAUGAACCCUUGACAACAACUGAUCUGAAAUUCCCUCUGAGUCUUGCACAAUUGUCUGCGUGAAUAGCAUUGGAUUAAUUAUCCAUUCUUAAACAAGGCUACGCGGUGCUCAAAGGAUAAUGAUUAUUAUGAAUCGGUGUCUUUUCCCUGAGCAAAUGAGGGAUUAUAGAACAAUAAAAAAUAUAUGAAGCCAAACUUAUUUUUAGCUUUUUCUUUUGGGCCUAGACCCAUUUCUGUUUGCAGAGUACUGGUGGACCGGGCACUGGAAGUGAUAUUGGGCUGUUUGCGAGGUUCUGCUGUGGGCCCUUUCUCGAUUCAUAUUUCCUCACAUGACCAAUCAUGCUGAUUGAUGAUUAUGGCCCAACCCAAAAUACUAUGGUGGACCUCGGCUUGUCCAUGGCAAUUUGUUC